Molecule: long non-coding RNA, 637 nt
Organism: Myotis brandtii (Brandt's bat)
Lineage: Eukaryota; Metazoa; Chordata; Mammalia; Chiroptera; Vespertilionidae
Exons: 3
Source: RefSeq, a predicted model, not a curated record
CUUUCCACUUCCUAAAGCUGCUAUAAAUUCUUCCUUUCCAGGAAGGAAAAUAGAAAAAAAAAGAAAAAAAGAACCUAUGCUGCUUCAGUUUGGGCUAUUAUUCUACUAAGCAACACUUCUGUUUGGAGAGAACCCAGCCACCACGCUGUCAGGAAGGCCAAAAUACGGUACUUAGGAAGGAGGGGCCUAUGUGGAGAAGAACAGGAACUUCUAGCCUUUGAUCCUGGCUGAACUCCCAGGCAAUGAACAGCAUCAAACUGCCAACCAUGUGAGACACAAAGAGAAGGCAACCAUCUGCAACCCAGGAGGAGGGUCCUCACCAGGAAUUCAAUCAGAUGACACCUUGAUCUUGGACUUCCCAGCCUGAGAACUGUGAGAACUAGAUUGCUGUUGUUUAGCCAGCAGUCUGUCAUAUUUUGUUAUUGCAGCCCAGCAGCCUAAGACACCACACCUAAGGAAGAUUUUGUUAUUUUUUGUUUCCUUUUGGGGGGCUAGAAAACUGUCCCCCUGUCAUCUCCUGUAUUCUUCAUAUUUAUAAGUUUUUGAUAAAAACUCUAUUUGCAGCCUUCCAGAAUUUGUUUCUUGACAUUUAAAGAAAAAAUUGUGAAAAUAAAGACAAAAACCUUCUCUAUCUCAA